GCCUUCGUGGUGUAGUGGGUCAGCACGCUGGGCGCGUAUUCCAGAGGUCCGUGGUUCAAGUCCUGGCGAAGGCG
RNAcentral lists this transfer RNA (74 nucleotides) under Stegodyphus mimosarum. It matches the Rfam family "tRNA". Rfam says of the family: Transfer RNA (tRNA) molecules are approximately 80 nucleotides in length. Their secondary structure includes four short double-helical elements and three loops (D, anti-codon, and T loops). The record is from Rfam by way of RNAcentral. Lineage: Eukaryota; Metazoa; Arthropoda; Arachnida; Araneae; Eresidae.